UAGGGAAUCUUCCGCAAUGGGCGAAAGCUUGACGGAGCAACGCCGCGUGAGUGAUGAAGGUCUUCGGAUCGUAAAACUCUGUUAUUAGGGAAGAACAAAUGUGUAAGUAACUAUGCACGUCUUGACGGUACCUAAUCAGAAAGCCACGGCUAACUACGUGCCAGCAGCCGCGGUAAUACGUAGGUGGCAAGCGUUAUCCGGAAUUAUUGGGCGUAAAGCGCGCGUAGGCGGUUUUUUAAGUCUGAUGUGAAAGCCCACGGCUCAACCGUGGAGGGUCAUUGGAAACUGGAAAACUUGAGUGCAGAAGAGUAAAGUGGAAUUCCAUGUGUAGCGAUGAAAUGCGCAGAGAUAUGGAGGACCACCAGUGGCGAAAGCGACUUUCUGGUCUGUAACUGACGCUGAUGUGCGAAAGCGUGGGGAUCAAACAGG
This 429-nucleotide ribosomal RNA is filed under the name Actinomycetes bacterium. Its description in RNAcentral is "Actinobacteria bacterium partial 16S ribosomal RNA". It matches the Rfam family "Bacterial small subunit ribosomal RNA", at positions 355 to 776 of the family's 1533-position model. The record is from RNAcentral. Lineage: Bacteria; Bacillati; Actinomycetota; Actinomycetes.